UGCUAUUUUUAUGAAGAGCGGCGAACGGGUGAGUAACGCGUGGGAAAUCUGCCGAGUAGCGGGGGACAACGUUUGGAAACGAACGCUAAUACCGCAUAACAAUGAGAAUCGCAUGAUUCUUAUUUAAAAGAAGCAAUUGCUUCACUACUUGAUGAUCCCGCGUUGUAUUAGCUAGUUGGUAGUGUAAAGGACUACCAAGGCGAUGAUACAUAGCCGACCUGAGAGGGUGAUCGGCCACACUGGGACUGAGACACGGCCCAGACUCCUACGGGAGGCAGCAGUAGGGAAUCUUCGGCAAUGGGGGCAACCCUGACCGAGCAACGCCGCGUGAGUGAAGAAGGUUUUCGGAUCGUAAAACUCUGUUGUUAGAGAAGAACGUUAAGUAGAGUGGAAAAUUACUUAAGUGACGGUAUCUAACCAGAAAGGGACGGCUAACUACGUGCCAGCAGCCGCGGUAAUACGUAGGUCCCAAGCGUUGUCCGGAUUUAUUGGGCGUAAAGCGAGCGCAGGUGGUUUCUU
RNAcentral lists this ribosomal RNA (519 nucleotides) under Lactococcus garvieae. RNAcentral's name for it is "bacterial SSU rRNA". It matches the Rfam family "Bacterial small subunit ribosomal RNA", at positions 78 to 584 of the family's 1533-position model. The record is from RNAcentral. Lineage: Bacteria; Bacillati; Bacillota; Bacilli; Lactobacillales; Streptococcaceae.